CCUACGGGAGGCAGCAGUGAGGAAUAUUGGUCAAUGGACGAGAGUCUGAACCAGCCAAGUCGCGUGAAGGAUGACUGCCCUAUGGGUUGUAAACUUCUUUUAUAAAGGAAUAAAACGAGGCACGUGUGCCUUUUUGCAUGUACUUUAUGAAUAAGGAUCGGCUAACUCCGUGCCAGCAGCCGCGGUAAUACGGAGGAUCCGAGCGUUAUCCGGAUUUAUUGGGUUUAAAGGGAGCGUAGAUGGGUUGUUAAGUCAGUUGUGAAAGUUUGCGGCUCAACCGUAAAAUUGCAAUUGAUACUGGCAGUCGUGAGUACAGUUGAGGUAGGCGGAAUUCGUGGUGUAGCGGUGAAAUGCUUAGAUAUCACGAAGAACCCCGAUUGCGAAGGCAGCUUACUAAACUGUGACUGACAUUGAGGCUCGAAAGUGUGGGUAUCAAACAGGAUUAGAUACCCGUGUAGUC
RNAcentral lists this ribosomal RNA (460 nucleotides) under uncultured bacterium. RNAcentral describes it as "partial 16S ribosomal RNA". It matches the Rfam family "Bacterial small subunit ribosomal RNA", at positions 338 to 795 of the family's 1533-position model. The record is from RNAcentral.